CGCUAGCAUCAAUUAUUUUACUGCAAACGUCCGUGUCCGAAGGUAUGUAAAAUUUUUGGUGCCAUUUCACGGUUUAGUUUAGUUUUUCGAUAGUACAAAUGUUAACGUUUCACAGUUGAAUCGGUUUUUCGACUGUACAAAUGUUAACAUAUUUCCCACGUUGGACGAAAUUAUCCAGAAACGCGUGAGGUACGGUAGUUGUUUGCCGGUAAUGAAUACGAGAGUCGGGCUGUCUUCGAAUCUUUACGUUUGCAUCGUGUCGAUAGUUGAUAUUUCCGGUCCAAAUAUCGUGCCAUUUGUGAGUGUGCCUAUACCCACGAACGAGUGACGCUCAACAUUCAAUUCCUUUCCAAGCUUACAUUGCUUGUAGGGUUGCUACUUCCGGUCCGAACAUCGUACCAUUUGUGCAUAUGCCGGUGAUGUGUGCCUAUACACACCACCAGUGACGCUCAGCAUUCAAUUCUUUGAAACGCUUUCAUUGCUUCGAUGGUUGCUGCUGGCAGUCUGAAAAUUGUACCAUUUGCUGGUUUGUUUUUUCCUUGACGAGCGUUUCAUCGUGGUAGAAGGAACCAAACCAAACCAAAAGCGACAGCCAACUAUAAUAAAUACACAACGUUUGUGACUGUGACGAACACAAGAUGUCGUCUCCGGUUAGUCCGUCUGACUCCGACGAAUAUGAGGACGAAGAUGAGCAGCCUGCAGAUCUAAGCAACUCUUUCGAAUUCUCGAGUAGCGAAGCAGCGAAUUCUCCAGAUGACAACGAAACUAGCUGCAGCGAAGCGGACCGGUCGUUUGUCGGUAAAAUUCGCGACAACGUCACAAAUCUGUUUUCAAAGUUGAUACGCAAUGCCAAGGACAAGUUUGGGGUAUCUAAUCAAAAGCGAUCUAAUGAGUGCAUAGGUUCUGGGGUACAGCCGGCGAAGCGACGCCGACUGUAUGACAAUGAAGAAGAUUCUUACUUACUGCAUGAUCGUUCUGGUGUUCGUCCGUCCGACAGCACUCGUAUUGAUCAGGCAAGUCAGACGAAUCAUCCCUAUGUACAUACGGCAGGUACUUACAAUCACAAACCCCCGGAUUGCGUUCAGUCUGUGUUCGAGCGUGGAUCGGCGGGCACAGGGCAGGGUGAAUCGAGCGUGUUUUUACCGUCCAUAUCGCACCAUUCCAUGCAACACGAUGAACUUGUGGAGCAACAGGUAGAAGGGGAUGAUGAUGCGGUAGAUGAGCUGGAUCAGAAUGAGGGAAAUCAGUUGCGGAUUGUUACCGAGCAACAUGAAUUAUACAAUUUCGAACCGUUCGAUCCAUUUAAGUAUCUAGCAAAGAUAGAUAAUACGCCCGUCGAUCCGAAGCGGCGUAUAACUACAUUCCUGGGCAACCGAUGUUACCGGAAGCGACAGCAGCGGCUGCGCCGUGGGGUAAUAGGGCGACUCUUCUUUGUUUCACAUCACAAACCAACCAAAAACCUCGACACUUCCCGCAAUGAAACGUACGCUUCCUCCCAUCGGCCAGCCUUCAAUAUGGCUACGUAUCGUGCCUCAUGUGAUAAGCGGAUUCCGCCAGAGCUUGGAGGGUCACCAUUUUACAACGGGUUUACGCGGUACGGUGGUGCGUCUGCGGCAAAUACCUUGCGUAACCGCUUUACCGUGACACCUUCCUCGCCGGAUCAAGAUAGAAGCGUUCUGAUUAGAAACUUAAAAUCCAACAGUAAAAAGAGAAGAUCAAGCAAUGAAUCGAAUGCGCCCACAGUGUCAUCCGCCGCACAGCGUAUGUUGGAUAUAUUGGAUGAGUAUGAUGUAGCAAAAAAGAAUGGAAAGAAUGUACUUGAUUUGGCCGAUAAUAAGAAUAUCGAACAGGAACUGAACGAAUUGAUCAAUCGUCCACUCAUGUCGUCGUGUUCUGCUCCCGUACCGCAAAUGUUGCAGCUAUUGCGUCAGCAGAAGUUAGCUUCCAUCUUGUGCGAGCGAGAGGAAAGCACACCAUAUCCACCGAUUAAACCAUUAAAUAUUAUGCCAUUGGGUGGGUAUCACCACACCGGUACGUCAGAACGACGGAAUAAUGAAGCGUCCGCUGGAAAUCGUACAGCACCAACGGAAACACGCACGGACGUGGAACCGGUAAUGGAAAGUAAUGUCGAGUCGGAAGAAUUUGUACAGCGGACUGUUGUACAGCAUUUAGAGGAUGUCAUGCCAUCAACACCCGAUGUUAUCGAUCCACCAUCACCGGUCAUCAAAGAUAUAGUAGACGCAGACACAUUGUCUACAAAUAACGAGGAACAUGAACCGGCUCAAACGGUACAUACGGCUGUGAACGCCCCAACGGGGGAAAUGUUGUUUCAUUUUGCAGAUACUAUUGUGCUGGAUGAAAAUUACCAGAGAUCAGAAAAGAAUAUAGAAAAUAUGCAAACGUUCACGUUUGCCGAACCGCAAUGGCUCAACCACCAGAGCGAGCCGACAGUACCAGCAAACUCCUUCCAGCAAUUAAUUGCCGAAUCUGCCAAUAAGUGGGUAUGCGACGUGUGCAUGGUGCGCAACGAACCACACCUAUUGUCGUGCAUUGCUUGUGGGAAUGUUAAAACAUGCGAGAAAAUUGCUGCAAAAAGCAUCAGCGCAUCCAGCGUGACGAAAAGCGGGAACGAAAAUGGGAAGAAAAAUGAAGCGGUACCGGCUUCACCAUUUAGUAAUAUGCCUAACCUGAAGGAUACGUUCAAAUCGCUCGUCGAACAGCAAAAGACAAGCACGUGGUUAUGUGAUGGGUGUGAGGCACCGAAUUCGGUCGAGCUGGACCGUUGCCUUUGCUGCGAGCAAAUUAAACCAAACGUCACCGAAACGGUUCUGCCUAAUUUAGGUCCUAGCAGUAUGACACCAAAAGCUGAUCAGAAAUCAUUGCUACAACCGGCUGCAACUGGGUCCAGCAUCAGUACUACCACCGGUACAAUACAAGAACCCCAACCAUGUUCGUUCGUCAGCUUUAAAACUCAACCUACCGUCGGUUUACCAUCGCUAGGAAGCAACAUAUUCACGAACCCGCAAGCAAAUGUGCAGUUUACGUUUGGCAGCGGUGCUGGGUUCGGUACAGCAGCACUAUCUACUACCAGCAGUAUAUUUGGCGCGAGCACAACAGUGGCCGAACCCAAUCUGUUCGCAUCUGCAUUCGGUACCAAUCCAACUAAGGCCAAUGCCAACGACAAUACUGUAAGUUUUAGUACCUCUAGCAACCAUGAUGGCAUCUUCAACAUGUUUGACAUUGCUGAACAACCACCGGUGAACUUAUUAAGCUCGUCUCGCUCCAGCAGUGCGCCUCAAUCCAAACCCUCCAAACUCCAGUUUAGAGGAGUACCACAAACAACACCAAGCGUGUAAGUACAUGAGGCUCUGAAAGUUUAAAAGAGGCUCUGCUGCUGGAUGUUCCGUUCCGCUGCUUGUGCAACAGUGUAUGUUCUUAGGGUACCUUGCCCAAUCAAUCUACAAGAAAGACAUUGCACUAUGAAAAUAUUAUAAAAUUCAAUAAUAGUUACGUACCAUGAAAUGCACUGUUGCUGUGCAGGAUGCAGUGUGUGAAACGAGUGUUAUACACACUCGCCCUCGCUUACUGCAUUGGAACCUUUACUUCAUCAACUCACCCCAAAAUAUGGACGGAUCAAACCAUCACAUAUAAUAGCGGAAAAACGGAGGGUGUUGCGUCAAAAACCAAUCGAGGCAAUUCAUCCCGACCACCAGGCGUUUGAAGAUCCGGGGUGGCAUCAGGCGGUUGCAUCCCCGGCCAGCCCACCAAUAGGACCUGCCAUACUAUUCGGUUAUGCAUCAAAUCCGGAAAACCGUGACAACCCAGCUAUUGGUGCGAAUCCGGAGUAUCAAGAAAACCCAGGUCGUGGGGAAAAUCUGAAUCGUGUUCGUCGGGAAAACGUGGAACGUCCUGAAAACCCGGGUCGUCGUCGCAUUCGUGAGGACGCGAUUCUUAUUAGAAAUCAAGCUGAGCGUAGAAACCAGCGACGUGACCAUCUUGAAAACCUAGUAGUGCGUCGUGGAAUGCCGAGACAUCUUGAUAACUGGAUACGAUACGUCAACCACGAACGCCGACGUCAAAAUAACAUAAUACCUCCACCGCCACAAUAUCAACCGGCACAUGGAGCGCUCGCCCCUAUCGGAAUACCAUUUCCGCGCGUUCAGUUUAAUCCGACGCGCGAAGAACGAAUCAGACUUCAUGGCAACCGUGUUGCACGUGAUUGGUUGUUAGGUUUAGCACGCAAAUCACGAUUUAGCAACUAUCAAUCAACUAAGAUAUUACCUUUAUUUAAAUUACCGCUGUAUGACAAGCGUACGUUGAAGAGAAAGUCAUUGUUAUGAGUGAUAGAAAUUAUAUAGAUACAUUAUUAUAUGUACAUAAUUACAUUAAUUUAUGUAAACAAAUACAUUAUUAUGUAUAUAUAUAUAUACAUAAUUAAAUGUAAACAAAUGCAUUACUAUAUGUGAAUAAAUACAUAUACCACAAGCAUGAAUGGA
This is an RNA transcript of Anopheles funestus (African malaria mosquito), 4496 nucleotides long. It is a transcript of the gene named nuclear pore complex protein Nup153-like, with no coding region annotated. The record is from RefSeq and is a predicted model, not a curated record. The transcript is spliced from 6 exons. NCBI's taxonomy places the organism in Eukaryota, Metazoa, Arthropoda, Insecta, Diptera, Culicidae.